This 77-nucleotide transfer RNA is filed under the name Pseudomonadales bacterium. Its description in RNAcentral is "tRNA-Arg". It matches the Rfam family "tRNA". Rfam says of the family: Transfer RNA (tRNA) molecules are approximately 80 nucleotides in length. Their secondary structure includes four short double-helical elements and three loops (D, anti-codon, and T loops). Lineage: Bacteria; Pseudomonadati; Pseudomonadota; Gammaproteobacteria; Pseudomonadales. The record is from RNAcentral. RNAcentral also lists the same sequence under 3 other names.
GCGCCCGUAGCUCAGUUGGAUAGAGUACUUGGCUACGAACCAAGGGGUCGGGAGUUCGAAUCUCUCCGGGCGCACCA